Molecule: ribosomal RNA, 853 nt
Filed under: uncultured organism
Description: bacterial SSU rRNA
Rfam family: Bacterial small subunit ribosomal RNA
Source: RNAcentral
UCUGGCUCAGGAUGAACGCUGGCGGCGUGCUUACACAUGCAAGUCGAACGGUGAAGCCUGCUAUUAUAGUGGGUGGAUCAGUGGCGGACUGGUGAGUAACACGUAGGUGACCUGCCCCAAAGAGGAGAAUAACUUGACGAAAGUGAAGCUAAUACUCCAUGUGGUCAAUCAUUCGGUUGAUUGAUUAAAGCUAAGGCGCUUUGGGAGGGGCUUGCGGCCCAUCAGCUAGUUGGUAGGGUAAAGGCCUACCAAGGCGAAGACGGGUAGCUGGUCUGAGAGGACGAUCAGCCACAAUGGCACUGAAACACGGGCCAUACUCCUACGGGAGGCAGCAGUGAGGAAUAUUGCACAAUCGACGCAAGUCGGAUGCAGCAACGCCGCGUGGACGAUGAAGGCCUUCGGGUUGUAAAGUCCUUUUAAGAGGGACGAGGAAGGACGGUACCUCUUGAAUAAGUCUCGGCUAACUACGUGCCAGCAGCCGCGGUAACACGUAGGAGGCGAGCGUUAUCCGGAUUUAUUGGGCGUAAAGCGCAUGCAGGUGGCUAGGUAAGUCGGGUGUGAAAGCCCCGGACUUAAUCCGGGGAGGUCAUUCGAUACUGCUUGGCUUGAGAGCGGGAGAGGGAAGUGGAAUUCUCGGUGUAGUGGUGAUAUGCGUAGAUAUCGAGAGGAACACCAGUGGCGAAGGCGGCUUCCUGGCCCGUAUCUGACACUAAGAUGCGAAAGCGUGGGUAGCAAACGGACUUAGAUACUCCGGUAGUCCACGCUGUAAACGAUGGGUACUAGGUGUAGGGGGUGUAAAACUCUCUGUGCCAUAGUUAACGCACUAAGUACCCCGCCUGGGGACUACGGUCGC